AUUGAACGCUGGCGGCAUGCCUUACACAUGCAAGUCGAACGGCAGCACGGGGGCAACCCUGGUGGCGAGUGGCGAACGGGUGAGUAAUGCAUCGGAACGUGUCCUCUUGUGGGGGAUAACCAGUCGAAAGAUUGGCUAAUACCGCAUGAGAUCGCAAGAUGAAAGCGGGGGCCCGCACGGCCUAGCGCGAGAGGAGCGGCCGAUGCCGGGUUUGCUAGUUGGGGGGGUAAAAGCCUCCCAAGGCGACAAACCGUAGCUGGUCUGAGAGGACGACCAGUCACACUGGGACUGAGACACGGCCCAGACGCCUACGGGAGGCAGCAGUGGGGAAUUUUUGACAAUGGGCGCAAGCCUGAUCCAGCCAUGCCGCGUGUGUGAAGAAGGCCUUCGGGUUGUAAAGCACUUUCGGACGGAACGAAAUCGCGCGGACGAACAUUCCGCGUGGAUGACGGUACCGUAAGAAGAAGCACCGGCUAACUACGUGCCAGCAGCCGCGGUAA
Molecule: ribosomal RNA, 500 nt
Filed under: uncultured bacterium
Lineage: Bacteria
Description: partial 16S ribosomal RNA
Rfam family: Bacterial small subunit ribosomal RNA
Source: RNAcentral